GUCGAGCGCCGUAGCAAUACGGAGCGGCAGACGGGAGAGUAACACGUGGGAACGUGCCCUUCAGUUCGGAACAACCCAGGGAAACUUGGGCUAAUACCGGAUACGUCCGUAAGGAGAAAGAUUUAUCGCUGAAGGAUCGGCCCGCGUCUGAUUAGCUUGUUGGUGAGGUAACGGCUCACCAAGGCGACGAUCAGUAGCUGGUCUGAGAGGAUGAUCAGCCUCACUGGGACUGAGAUACGGCCCAGACUCCUACGGGAGGCAGCAGUGGGGAAUAUUGGUCAAUGGGCGCAAGCCUGAUCCAGCCAUGCCGCGUGGGUGAUGAAGGCCCUAGGGUUGUAAAGCCCUUUCGGCGGGGAAGAUAAUGACGGUACCCGCAGAAGAAGCCCCGGCUAACUUCGUGCCAGCAGCCGCGGUAAUACGAAGGGGGCUAGCGUUGCUCGGAAUCACUGGGCGUAAAGCGCACGUAGGCGGCUUUUUAAGUCAGGGGUGAAAUCCUGGAGCUCAACUCCAGAACUGCCUUUGAUACUGAGAAGCUUGAGUCCGGGAGAGGUGAGUGGAACUGCGAGUGUAGAGGUGA
Molecule: ribosomal RNA, 577 nt
Filed under: uncultured Alphaproteobacteria bacterium
Lineage: Bacteria; Pseudomonadati; Pseudomonadota; Alphaproteobacteria
Description: bacterial SSU rRNA
Rfam family: Bacterial small subunit ribosomal RNA
Source: RNAcentral